This 253-nucleotide ribosomal RNA is filed under the name uncultured bacterium. RNAcentral's name for it is "partial 16S ribosomal RNA". It matches the Rfam family "Bacterial small subunit ribosomal RNA", at positions 524 to 776 of the family's 1533-position model. The record is from RNAcentral.
UACGGGGGGGGCUAGCGUUGCUCGGAAUUACUGGGCGUAAAGCGCACGUAGGCGGCUCUUUAAGUCGGGGGUGAAAUCCUGGAGCUCAACUCCAGAACUGCCUUCGAUACUGUAGAGCUUGAGUUCGGGAGAGGUGAGUGGAACUGCGAGUGUAGAGGUGAAAUUCGUAGAUAUUCGCAAGAACACCAGUGGCGAAGGCGGCUCACUGGCCCGAUACUGACGCUGAGGUGCGAAAGCGUGGGGAGCAAACAGG